Molecule: ribosomal RNA, 256 nt
Filed under: uncultured Gardnerella sp.
Lineage: Bacteria; Bacillati; Actinomycetota; Actinomycetes; Bifidobacteriales; Bifidobacteriaceae
Description: partial 16S ribosomal RNA
Rfam family: Bacterial small subunit ribosomal RNA
Source: RNAcentral
CGAACGGGUGAGUAAUGCGUGACCAACCUGCCCCAUGCUCCAGAAUAGCUCUUGGAAACGGGUGGUAAUGCUGGAUGCUCCAACUUGACGCAUGUCUUGUUGGGAAAGUGUUUAGUGGCAUGGGAUGGGGUCGCGUCCUAUCAGCUUGUAGGCGGGGUAAUGGCCCACCUAGGCUUCGACGGGUAGCCGGCCUGAGAGGGCGGACGGCCACAUUGGGACUGAGAUACGGCCCAGACUCCUACGGGAGGUAGCAGUC